UACGUAGGGUGCAAGCGUUAAUCGGAAUUACUGGGCGUAAAGCGUGCGCAGGCGGUGAUGUAAGACAGAUGUGAAAUCCCCGGGCUCAACCUGGGAACUGCAUUUGUGACUGCAUCGCUGGAGUACGGCAGAGGGGGAUGGAAUUCCGCGGUGUAGCAGUGAAAUGCGUAGAUAUGCGGAGGAACACCGAUGGCGAAGGCAAUCCCCGUGGGCCUGUACUGACGCUCAUGCACGAAAGCGUGGGGAGCAAACAGG
RNAcentral lists this ribosomal RNA (255 nucleotides) under uncultured bacterium. RNAcentral's name for it is "partial 16S ribosomal RNA". It matches the Rfam family "Bacterial small subunit ribosomal RNA", at positions 524 to 776 of the family's 1533-position model. The record is from RNAcentral.